CCUACGGGGGGCUGCAGUGGGGAAUAUUGGACAAUGGGGGGAACCCUGAUCCAGCCAUGCCGCGUGUGUGAAGAAGGCCCUCGGGUUGUAAAGCACUUUCAGUGAGGAAGAACGCCUGGUGGUUAAUACCCAUCAGGAAAGACAUCACUCACAGAAGAAGCACCGGCUAACUCCGUGCCAGCAGCCGCGGUAAUACGGAGGGUGCGAGCGUUAAUCGGAAUUACUGGGCGUAAAGCGCGCGUAGGUGGCUUGAUAAGCCGGUUGUGAAAGCCCCGGGCUCAACCUGGGAACGGCAUCUGGAACUGUCAAGCUAGAGUGCAGGAGAGGAAGGUAGAAUUCCCGGUGUAGCGGUGAAAUGCGUAGAGAUCGGGAGGAAUACCAGUGGCGAAGGCGGCCUUCUGGACUGACACUGACACUGAGGUGCGAAAGCGUGGGUAGCAAACAGGAUUAGAUACCCGGGUAGUC
RNAcentral lists this ribosomal RNA (465 nucleotides) under Vreelandella stevensii. RNAcentral's name for it is "partial 16S ribosomal RNA". It matches the Rfam family "Bacterial small subunit ribosomal RNA", at positions 338 to 795 of the family's 1533-position model. Lineage: Bacteria; Pseudomonadati; Pseudomonadota; Gammaproteobacteria; Oceanospirillales; Halomonadaceae. The record is from RNAcentral.